Pimephales promelas (fathead minnow) is the source of this 327-nucleotide non-coding RNA. NCBI's taxonomy places the organism in Eukaryota, Metazoa, Chordata, Actinopteri, Cypriniformes, Leuciscidae. The record is from RefSeq and is a predicted model, not a curated record.
GGGCGACACUGGAUCAUUCCUUCACCUUCACGAAUCACGCAGAGCUUCUGUUUAACACGGUCUUUCUGGUUCUCGAAUUGACAGGAUUUGGUCUUGAUGGGCCUCAAGUUUCGAUGUAAUCAUACUCAAGGAUGGCUGGGCAGACCAAAGGAUGAACGGGCAUAUGGAAGUGUUUAGAACGGCACAGCUAGCGCGGUUCUGUCGCCACUCAACCAACAGCCACCCUCAUAGGGGCAUGAUCCUAGCAACUGGGGGUCAAAGGUCAGCAGAGGUGAGUGAGACUGGAAAGAUCCAGAUUGCUCUGAUGAGUCAGUAUGUGUUUUUGAA